UACGGAGGGUGCAAACGUUGCUCGGAAUCAUUGGGCGUAAAGCGCACGUAGGCGGCCUGUUAAGUCGGAUGUGAAAGCCCCGGGCUCAACCCGGGAAGUGCAUUCGAAACUGGCGGGCUUGAAUAUGGAAGAGGGUCGCGGAAUUCCCGGUGUAGAGGUGAAAUUCGUAGAUAUUCGCAAGAACACCAGUGGCGAAGGCGGCUCACUGGCCCGGUACUGACGCUGAGGUGCGAAAGCGUGGGGAGCAAACAGG
Molecule: ribosomal RNA, 253 nt
Filed under: uncultured bacterium
Lineage: Bacteria
Description: partial 16S ribosomal RNA
Rfam family: Bacterial small subunit ribosomal RNA
Source: RNAcentral